RNAcentral lists this long non-coding RNA (450 nucleotides) under Triticum aestivum (bread wheat). RNAcentral's name for it is "long non-coding RNA (TAES_LNC004161)". Lineage: Eukaryota; Viridiplantae; Streptophyta; Magnoliopsida; Poales; Poaceae. The record is from RNAcentral.
GAAAACCAGCCAGGCCAGGUAAUGCCUCAGAAUUCCAAUAAAUGAUGGCAUCAACCUUUGUGAUAUGAGUUAAAGACCUGCAUUAACAAUUCAUUCAAUAUUAGUUACAACGAAACCAUAAUGUACUUAUAUAUGUCUCUUAAUCCCCAAUGCUAACAUUGAUUUUUUUUAGGAUCUUGUCUUCACAGCAAUAGCAAUAGUAGAUCGUUUGCAAGAAAAUAUUCAAUGGUGGUACAUGUCAUGUGAUAAGUGUCACAAAUUGGCUACCAAAGAAACCGACAAGUAUUAUUGCAACAGUUGUGGUAUAUAUCCAGAAAAGGUCACACCUCGGUAAGCAUAUUAUGUUACUAAAAUAUGAACAAGAACUGUUAUAUUAUAUUUACUCUCCACUAACAUGAGUUGUAUGUUAGGUACCGUGUUCGACUCCAAAUUAGUGACCAUACAUCUACU